RNAcentral lists this ribosomal RNA (472 nucleotides) under uncultured bacterium. Its description in RNAcentral is "bacterial SSU rRNA". It matches the Rfam family "Bacterial small subunit ribosomal RNA", at positions 1021 to 1501 of the family's 1533-position model. The record is from RNAcentral.
CAAUGACACAAAAGUAGAUGAAGCAUGGCUGUCGUCAGCUCGUGCCGUGAGGUGGUGGGUUAAAUCCCGCAACGAGCGCAACCCCUAUCUUUAGUCGCCAUCGGGUUAAGCCGGGAACUUUAAAGAAACUGCCAGCGUAAGCUGCGAGGAAGGUGGGGACGACGUCAAGUCAUCACGGCCCGUUCGUCCUGGGCCACACACGUGAUGCAAUGGUAGGUACAGAGGGCAGCUACUGGGUGACCAGAUGCGAAUCUCUAAAACCUAUCUCAGUUCGGAUUGGAGUAUGCAACUCGUCUUUAUGAAGCUGGAAUCGCUAGUAAUCGCGCAUCAGCCAUGGCGCGCUGAAUACGUUCCCGGGCCUUGUACACACCGCCCGUCAAACAAUGGAAGCUGGGGGUGCCUGAAGUCGGUAACCGUAAGGAGCUCCCUAGGGUAAAACUGGUAAGUGGUGUUAAGUCGUACCAAGGUAACC